Molecule: ribosomal RNA, 386 nt
Filed under: uncultured bacterium
Lineage: Bacteria
Description: bacterial SSU rRNA
Rfam family: Bacterial small subunit ribosomal RNA
Source: RNAcentral
AUUGAACGCUGGCGGCAUGCCUUACACAUGCAAGUCGAACGGCAGCGGGGACUUCGGUCCGCCGGCGAGUGGCGAACGGGUGAGUAAAGUAUCGGAACGUACCUUUCAGUGGGGGAUAACGUAGCGAAAGUUACGCUAAUACCGCAUAUUCUGUGAGCAGGAAAGCAGGGGAUCGCAAGACCUUGCGCUGAUUGAGCGGCCGAUAUCAGAUUAGCUAGUUGGUGAGGUAAAGGCUCACCAAGGCGACGAUCUGUAGCGGGUCUGAGAGGAUGAUCCGCCACACUGGAACUGAGACACGGUCCAGACUCCUACGGGAGGCAGCAGUGGGGAAUUUUGGACAAUGGGGGCAACCCUGAUCCAGCCAUGCCGCGUGAGUGAAGAAGGCC